GACCAGGGGAAUCCGACUGUUUAAUUAAAACAAAGCAUGGCCGAAGGCCCGCGGUGGGUAUGAUGUGAUUUCUGCCUAGUGCUCUGAAUGUAAACGGCAGGAGUAACUAUGACUCUCUUAAGGUGGCCACAUGCCUCCGCAUCUAAUUAGUGACAUGCAUGAUUAAACAGUGGUGUCC
This 178-nucleotide non-coding RNA is filed under the name Dipodomys ordii (Ord's kangaroo rat). RNAcentral's name for it is "Eukaryotic large subunit ribosomal RNA". It matches the Rfam family "Eukaryotic large subunit ribosomal RNA", at positions 2122 to 2336 of the family's 3401-position model. Lineage: Eukaryota; Metazoa; Chordata; Mammalia; Rodentia; Heteromyidae. The record is from Rfam by way of RNAcentral.